This 205-nucleotide unclassified non-coding RNA is filed under the name root metagenome. RNAcentral's name for it is "partial contains small subunit ribosomal RNA, internal transcribed spacer 1, and 5.8S ribosomal RNA". The record is from RNAcentral.
UCUCCGUUGGUGAACCAGCGGAGGGAUCAUUACAGAGUUGCAAAACUCCCAACCCUUUGUGAACGAACCUGACAGUUGCUUCGGCAGAAGGCCCUUCACUGGGCAGCCCGCCGGAGACCGCCAAACGCUUUGUUUUUACACUGGCCUCUCUGAGUUAUUGUACUGUAAUAAGUCAAAACUUUCAACAACGGAUCUCUUGGCUCUG